CAGUCGCCGCGGGAAUACGAAGGGUGCAAGCGUUAAUCGGAAUUACUGGGCGUAAAGCGUGCGUAGGCGGAUUGUUAAGUCUGUUGUGAAAUCCCCGGGCUCAACCUGGGAAUGGCAAUGGAUACUGGCAAGCUAGAGUGUGUCAGAGGAUGGUGGAAUUCCCGGUGUAGCGGUGAAAUGCGUAGAGAUCGGGAGGAACAUCAAUGGCGAAGGCGGCCAUCUGGGACAACACUGACGCUGAGGCACGAAAGCGUGGGGAGCAAACAGGAUUAGAUACCCCAGUAGUCCCUGUCUCUUAUAA
RNAcentral lists this ribosomal RNA (301 nucleotides) under uncultured bacterium. Its description in RNAcentral is "partial 16S ribosomal RNA". It matches the Rfam family "Bacterial small subunit ribosomal RNA", at positions 509 to 809 of the family's 1533-position model. The record is from RNAcentral.